CAUGAGAAAAGGACAGCAUCGUGGUCGCUUUUAUGAGCUAUUUGAGGGAGGUGGGUGGAGGCGGCUUGAGUGGGAUUUGCUUCAAGAGAAAUGGGAAAAGUUGAGAAAGAACUUCUGCAAGUUCUGAGAAGGCUUGAGGGAGGAGGAGGUGCAGAGAGCCGGCACAAUAUGUGAACAGAGAAAAGAAAGAGAGAAGAACAACGGAUAGCAGAAUUCACAAAUUCACUGUUGUGUGUGUGUGACGCAGUAGGACGUGUACAGAGACUCAAAUGCACUUACUUUAUCUCCUCCUCUGUUCUCCCCCUCCUUCCCCUCAACCCUGCAAUACACAUUGCCAUACACUUCAGCUUGUUAUCGUGUAGGUUUGUGCGUGUGUGUAUAUGUGUCUAGAUUCAGAGGAAUACGCUGGGCCUCUUUUAAUGUCAAUGUUGCACUGCAGAACAAACUGCACUUGAAGAUUGGAACAUGUACUACACACCCUCACAGUCGCUACGCCGUAUCUUCUACUAUUCAGCCAAAUGAGCAAACAUGACAUGUGGGCAAUGAUAAGAAACCCGUUUUGCUGUCUAUGAACUCUGUGGAAACUAUAAACUCACUGUGUGUCUUACUUCCCCACGGUGUCUGGCCACGUCUUUCUAAUUUAGUAAUUGUUUAUUUAAUACUUACUAUAUGUAUGUGCAUAGGACACUGUGUCAUCAGGGCAGCACAUAAUAGAAACAACCUGCUCCACACACAUUGGUUGUGUUUGUACUACUGAUGAUAACCUCAAAUUCCAAGCGUUGUUUUUCUUAUAUCUUUAAUGAUGCGACACUCCCUAAUUAUCUAAGAUAGCAAGAUUGUAUGGCAGUAAUAGCACCCAUAUGUUAUGUGAGGACAAAUGCAUUACUUGCCCAAUUUAUCAUGACCCCUUUGUUGUUACAGUAUCAUGUUGCACUCUCCUUGAUUUGCUUAUUCCCACCACCUCAAUGCAUGUCCUUGUCAUUCUAUCGUUCUAUGGGUUCAAUUGAAAAGCCUGCCUUGUGAAAUUGCACAAUGUUGUCAUGAAUGAAGCAUGGCCCUCCUCUCACAUCUAUAAAAUCAGCUUUGCAGCAGCUGUGGAGGGACAGCGAAGGAGCCGAGCCAUUUUAAUGCAGUUACACAGGAAAUGUACCCUGAGGGCUCGGCUGCACUCCACUGCGUUCAUUCACUGUCUGGAUCACGGAUACUGUUUAGCGGCCAGUCAAAUGGAAAAGUGCAAUAGCAACUUCUGCUAAACUAUGAUUACUAAUUGCAAUGCAAAAAAAACAAAAAUAGACAAAUACAAGGCUUAACAUGUUUCAUUAUUUUGCAAUAUUUUACAUAACAUUUGAAUAUUUUACAUUUUUAAGAAUGAUGGCAAAAAGAUAAUUGAAAGACAAAUGUCAAUCAAUACACACGAGUACACAUCUUUUGAAUAGAUCAUGUGGUUUGGUCCUUGUACAGAAGCAGAGCUGCCAUUCAGGUCGUCGGGAUAUUUUUAUAGUUCAUGUCUCACGUUUUAAUGACUUCCCGGUUUUCCUGACAAGCAUGAGCAAAUACUAAGAUAUGACUGAUUUAUAUGUUUAUGGUGUAAUGAAAUAUGAAGCAGAAAACCAUCAGCUUACAGGGAAUGUUGUGUGAACAUAUUUUUAAAUUUGUUGUAGGGUUCUAAAUUUAAUUUGUAAACAUCUUCACUUUUAUUAAUGAUGAGAAAAUAAGGAAAUAAUGAUUCAAAAUAAAACAUUGAGUUUAACCUUUAAAGAAUAAACUACAUAAAAUACCUAAUUUCAUCAUGCCUAAUUGAUAACAUGUAAAAAAUAAAAGAGCAUGCAACUAUUGCAGAAUACCCACAAGACAUCUCUCUUUCUUCCACACUCUUUUUUUGUGACCAGUCAGGUCGGGACUCUAAGAUCAGCUUAUCACAGCCGUUGUGUGAGAGAUAACAGCCAGGAGAGAGCGCAUGAUUUCCUGAGCAACAGUGACAACAGCAAACAAACAGCAGACAAAUACAAUCCCACACAGAAACACAUUAUCAAGUGUUACUUCCUAGGAUUGCUUAUCUGCCGUUCUUCAAUGUAACAUCCUUUCUCUUUCUCUGUUCACGCCUUUUUAACACUGUUCCUGCUGCAUUAUAGAUACAAGGGGACAUCGAAGUUCAAACAAUGUCCCUUUCUGCCCUGUGAAAGGAGAAUUUGCCUCGGUGAUGGACGACGUCGGACAAAUGUGGGGCUGGAUUUUGUCAUUUAAAAACUACAAGACACUUCUGCUCCCCUCCUGAUUGCCAAAUGAGGGAACUCAGAAUGGGGCAGCAGAGUCACCAGAGUGCUGAUCUCCCUGCCAUCAUCGUGACUGCAAUGCAAGCCAAGGUCUCUUUCAAGGGCACACAUCAUAUCUGCAAAGUCACAUGCAAGGCAGGGAGAGGCUCUAUGGGCGUUUUCAGUUGAAGCAACGAGAGCAGUACCGAGGAAAAUAAAAUGCGUUGAGCCUGGAGGUUUGUUGGAUUCAUCCAACACCAAAUAAAUAGUUCACACUCUUCUGUGGUUGUAAAUGUUUCAGAUUAAAACAAAUAAAAUGAAGAGCACAAUGUUGAGUAUAGCUAAAGUGUGCCUUAUAUUACAGUCCUUGUUUUUUCAUAAAGGUAAUGUUCUACUAGGCAAUACUCUCACUGUGCAGUUUGUA
Non-coding RNA from Gasterosteus aculeatus aculeatus (three-spined stickleback), 2676 nucleotides. NCBI's taxonomy places the organism in Eukaryota, Metazoa, Chordata, Actinopteri, Perciformes, Gasterosteidae. The record is from RefSeq and is a predicted model, not a curated record.